Molecule: long non-coding RNA, 502 nt
Organism: Lolium rigidum
Lineage: Eukaryota; Viridiplantae; Streptophyta; Magnoliopsida; Poales; Poaceae
Exons: 3
Source: RefSeq, a predicted model, not a curated record
AUUAAAAUACCUGUGGAUAUACAAAUUUUAUAUCAUUCCAAGUGAAGCCUCAAUUGCUUAUAAUUACUAGAUUUCAAAGCAUACAAUUAUCAGCGUAUACAUAGAAUGUGAGAAGAGGCAGCAUCGUGUGAUCCUCUCUCCGACCACCCAUGGUUCCUCUCUUGAUGGUUGUCAUUGUCCUAGACCCUAGAGAUUGAGCUGGUCUUAGAAUCUGCCAUCUUCAAUCAAGGCACUCUGAGAGUAAUUAUGGGAAGUUGCAAACACUUGGUUGGGAAAAGUGUAGCUGAACUAAUAAAGAGGUAUACAUUCACUAGCUACAAUGAUAUAUAUAAAGUAGAUAUAGAUAGAACAUUGGAGAAGGAUCCUCAUGGCAUUGCUCUUGUGGAUUUCGUUAACUCGAUUUGACGUCAAAUUAUUCCUUUAGUAGAUGGCUCAGUUUAUGUGGAUGUUCCUUCUGCACUUCUGUUGCUCUUGAUAUAUCCAUGAGUGUUUGCUACUAUAA